This 438-nucleotide ribosomal RNA is filed under the name uncultured bacterium. RNAcentral describes it as "partial 16S ribosomal RNA". It matches the Rfam family "Bacterial small subunit ribosomal RNA", at positions 339 to 795 of the family's 1533-position model. The record is from RNAcentral.
CUACGGGGGGCACCAGUGAGGAAUAUUGCACAAUGGGGGGAACCCUGAUGCAGCAACGCCGCGUGGAGGAUGACGCAUUUCGGUGUGUAAACUCCUUUUAUAUGUCAAGAAAAUGACGGUAGCAUAUGAAUAAGCACCGGCUAACUCCGUGCCAGCAGCCGCGGUAAUACGGAGGGUGCAAGCGUUACUCGGAAUCACUGGGCGUAAAGGACGCGUAGGCGGGUUGGAAAGUCAGGUGUGAAAUCCUACAGCUUAACUGUAGAACUGCACUUGAAACUUCUAAUCUAGAGUAUGGGAGGGGGAGAUGGAAUUAGUGGUGUAGGGGUAAAAUCCGUAGAUAUCACUAGGAAUACCUAAAGCGAAGGCGAUCUCCUGGAACAUUAUUGACGCUGAGACGCGAAAGCGUGGGGAGCAAACAGGAUUAGAUACCCGGUAGUC